RNAcentral lists this ribosomal RNA (460 nucleotides) under uncultured bacterium. RNAcentral describes it as "partial 16S ribosomal RNA". It matches the Rfam family "Bacterial small subunit ribosomal RNA", at positions 338 to 795 of the family's 1533-position model. The record is from RNAcentral.
CCUACGGGUGGCAGCAGGGAGGAAUAUUGGUCAAUGGACGAGAGUCUGAACCAGCCAAGUAGCGUGAAGGAUGACUGCCCGAUGGGUUGUAAACUUCUUUUAUAAAGGAAUAAAACGAGGCACGUGUGCCUUUUUGAAUGUACUUUAUGACUAAGGAUCGGCUAACUCCGUGCCAGCAGCCGCGGUAAUACGGAGGAUCCGAGCGUUAUCCGGAUUUAUUGGGUUUAAGGGGAGCGGAGAUGGGUAGUUAAGUCAGUUGUGAAAGUUUGCGGCUCAACCGUGAAAUUGCAAUUGAUACUGGCAGUCUUGAGUGCAGUUGAGGUAGGCGGAAUUCGUGGUGUAGCGGUGAAAUGCUUAGAUAUCACGAAGAACCCCGAUUGCGAAGGCAGCUUACUAAACUGUGACUGACAUUGAUGCUCGAAAGUGUGGGUAUCAAACAGGAUUAGAUACCCCUGUAGUC